GACGAACGCUGGCGGCGUGCCUAAUACAUGCAAGUAGAACGCUGAAGAGAGGAGCUUGCUCUUCUUGGAUGAGUUGCGAACGGGUGAGUAACGCGUAGGUAACCUGCCUGGUAGCGGGGGAUAACUAUUGGAAACGAUAGCUAAUACCGCAUAAAAUUGAUUAUUGCAUGAUAAUUAAUUGAAAGAUGCAACUGCAUCACUACCAGAUGGACCUGCGUUGUAUUAGCUAGUUGGUGAGGUAACGGCUCACCAAGGCGACGAUACAUAGCCGACCUGAGAGGGUGAUCGGCCACACUGGGACUGAGACACGGCCCAGACUCCUACGGGAGGCAGCAGUAGGGAAUCUUCGGCAAUGGGGGGAACCCUGACCGAGCAACGCCGCGUGAGUGAAGAAGGUUUUCGAAUCGUAAAGCUCUGUUGUAAGAGAAGAACGGGUGUGAGAGUGGAAAGUUCACACUGUGACGGUAGCUUACCAGAAAGGGACGGCUAACUACGUG
This 497-nucleotide ribosomal RNA is filed under the name uncultured bacterium. Its description in RNAcentral is "partial 16S ribosomal RNA". It matches the Rfam family "Bacterial small subunit ribosomal RNA", at positions 28 to 507 of the family's 1533-position model. The record is from RNAcentral.